AGACGUAGGGGGCGAGCGUUGUCCGGAAUUAUUGGGCGUAAAGGGCGCGCAGGCGGUUAUUUAAGUCAGACGUGAAAGGUGGCGGCUCAACUGCCACAUUGCGUAUGAAACUGGGUAACUUGAGUGCAGCAGAGGGAAGUGGAAUUCCUAGUGUAGCGGUGAAAUGCGUAGAUAUUAGGAAGAACACCAGUGGCGAAGGCGGCUUUCUGGGCUGCAACUGACGCUGAGGCGCGAAAGCUGGGGGAGCGAACGGGAUUAGAUACCCCGGUAGUCCCAGCCGUAAACGAUGGACACUAGGUGUAGGAGGAACGACCCCUUCUGUGCCGCAGCAAACGCAAUAAGUGUCCCGCCUGGGGAAUACGGCCGCAAGGCUGAA
Molecule: ribosomal RNA, 376 nt
Filed under: uncultured bacterium
Lineage: Bacteria
Description: bacterial SSU rRNA
Rfam family: Bacterial small subunit ribosomal RNA
Source: RNAcentral